RNAcentral lists this ribosomal RNA (253 nucleotides) under uncultured bacterium. RNAcentral's name for it is "partial 16S ribosomal RNA". It matches the Rfam family "Bacterial small subunit ribosomal RNA", at positions 524 to 776 of the family's 1533-position model. The record is from RNAcentral.
GACAGAGGGUGCAAGCGUUGUUCGGAAUUACUGGGCGUAAAGCGUGCGCAGGCGGUGAUGUAAGUCAGUUGUGAAAUCCCCGGGCUCAACCUGGGAACUGCAUCUGUGACUGGAUCGCUGGAGUGCGGCAGAGGGGGAUGGAAUUCCGCGUGUAGCAGUGAAAUGCGUAGAUAUGCGGAGGAACACCGAUGGCGAAGGCAAUCCCCUGGGCCUGCACUGACGCUCAUGCACGAAAGCGUGGGGAGCAAACAGG